UAAUACGUAGGAUGCAAGCGUUGUCCGGAUUUACUGGGCGUAAAGCGCGCGCAGGCGGCACAUUAAGUAAGGUGUGAAAUCCAUCGGCUCAACCGGUGGGGUGCAUUUUAGACUGAUGAGCUUGAGGUCGGUAGAGGGGGGUGGAAUUGCUGGUGUAGCGGUGAAAUGCGUAGAGAUCAGCAGGAACACCCGUGGCGAAGGCGGCCCCCUGGGCCGUACCUGACGCUGAGGCGCGAAGGCUAGGGGAGCGAACGGGAUUAGAUACCCCGGUAGUCCUAGCAGUAAACGAUGGCCACUAGGUGUGGGGGGUGUUGACCCCUUCCGUGCCGUAGCUAACGCAUUAAGUGGCCCGCCUGGGGAGUACGGUCGCAAGACUA
RNAcentral lists this ribosomal RNA (377 nucleotides) under uncultured bacterium. RNAcentral describes it as "bacterial SSU rRNA". It matches the Rfam family "Bacterial small subunit ribosomal RNA", at positions 521 to 896 of the family's 1533-position model. The record is from RNAcentral.